AUUGCGUAAAUUUAUUGGAAGUUUCUUAGUUCUGUGAUUGCCUGGAAGAUGCUCCCGCUUUAGCCAAACGGAGUUGACUUGACUCUGAAAGUAGCUGCUGGGUUCUCUUAUCACUUUCCAGUUCCAGAUCUAGCGAUAGAGAUCUAACCAUCCUGCAUAUGAUGGGGUUCGUAUCUGAAAUGGAUUUAGAGGCAUGUCCAAGUAAGUGGAAAAUCGAAUCUGAAAUGGAUUCUGAGGAAGGUCCAAUUACUCCUUUGCGCUCUUCAUCCAAGUCCCUUCCUCUUCCGGGCGGCGAAUAUGAAGUGUUCUUGAGUUUUAGAGGCUCAGACACUCGUUACGCCUUCACCGAUUUCCUCUACACCCAUCUCAAAUGUGUUGGAGUUCGAACCUUUCGAGACGAUAACGAGCUUCGCAGAGGAGAAGAGAUCGGAUCAGAGCUUCACAAAGCAAUCAGUGAGUCACAGAUUUUAAUUCCAAUAUUCUCCAAAAACUAUGCUUCCAGUAAAUGGUGCCUCCGUGAGCUAGCUCAGAUGGUGGACCACAAGAGAACCACCGGUCAACUCAUUUUGCCCAUCUUCUACGAUGUUGAACCAUCGGAUGUGAGGCAUCAAUCUGGGACUUAUGAGGAAGCAUUUCGCGAGCACGAGAGGUGUUUCGAUGAAAGGACUAUUGUGAAAUGGAAAGAGGCACUGAAAGAGGUUGGAGCACUCAAGGGUUGGGAAGUCAACAAAGAAGCUGAUGGGUAUCAAGGAAAACUAAUAAAAGACAAAAUUGUUCCGACAGUUUUGUUUGAGUUAAAGAAGAAUUACAUGGUUUUAACUGAGAACUUGGUUGGAAUCAAUCACCACGAAAAUGAAAUGAUGAGAUUAUUAGAUGUUGACUCUAAUGAUGUACGAAUUGUUGGUAUCCAUGGCAUGGGCGGUAUUGGCAAGACUACCAUUGCCAAAUUCAUCUACAACAAACUCUUGGAUUGCUUUGAUUGUAGUAGCUUCCUUGCAGAUGUUCGAGAAACAGUGCAACAGCACAUGGGGGGUUUCGGUGCUUUGCAAAAUAAACUUCUCACUGAUACCCUAAAAUGCCAGUAUGACAUUCCUGAUGUUCAUCGAGGAAUCACCAUGAUUAAACACAGUUUUUUCAGAAAGAAAGUUCUCAUUGUUCUUGAUGAUAUGGAUGAAAAGUCUCAAUUUGAUUGGCUUGUGGGAAAUUGUGAUUGGUUUGGUGCCGGAAGUAGGAUCAUUGUUACAAGUAGAGACAAACAUGUUCUUAAUGCUCUUAAAGUGAAUGCAUCUUAUGAACCCCCAUUUAUGAAUUCGGCGCAAUCUCUUCAACUUUUCAGCAUGCAUGCCUUUAGAAGUAAGUUUCCUCCAAAAGACUAUGACACUAUCGCUGGAGAGGUUGCAUCCACUGCUGCAGGGCUUCCUUUAGCUCUUGAGGUUAUAGGUUCAUUUCUAUCUGAUAAGGAGUUCGUGGUUUGGGAAGAUACACUGAAGAAGUUGGAGAAAAUUCCUCAUGAUGAAGUCGAGAAAAAGUUGAGAAUAAGUUAUGAUGCAUUGAAUAGUGAACAACAACAGAUAUUUCUUGAUAUUGCAUGUCUUUUCUUUGGAAUGGAUAAAGCAACUGUGUUUUACAUGUGGGAUGAUUGUAGCUAUCAUCCAAAAACAGAAUUUAGUGUCCUUUGUCUCAUGUCUCUUGUAAAAGUGGGAGAUUCUAAUGAGCUGAGGAUGCACAAUCAGCUUAAAGCUCUUGGGAGGAAAAUUGUCUAUGAAGAAAAGAUUCCUGGAAAGCGUAGUAGGUUGUGGAAUCAUGAGGAAGCCCUAGACAUUUUGGAGGGACGGAUGGGAACAGAAAUGGUUGAGGCCCUAAGUCUUCGCUUUGAAUUAGGGUCUAGAAUCAAGCCUCGCUUUACAAAUGAGGAAUUCACAAAACUAUUAUGUCUAAGGUAUCUCCGAGUGGAUGGCGUGGACCUUUCUGGGGAUUUUGAGAAUCUUUUCUCUCAGUUAAGAUGGCUUAAUUGGCGUGGGUGCCCUCCAUACUUUAAACUAACCAACUUUUAUAUGAAGAAUCUAGUUAUUCUUGAUCUAUCAAAUAGUGGCAUCACAGAAGACUGGGACGGCUGGAAUCAUAUCAAGAUGGCAAAUAAGUUGAAAGUCCUACAACUGGCUAAUUGUGCUUUAAGGAGAACUCCAGACUUUUCAUCAUAUGCAAGUUUAGAGAUAUUGAUUCUUCGACGCUGUGAAAGUUUGGUCGAAAUUGACCAAUCCAUUGGCAACAUGAAGAAUCUAAAAAUUCUAGACAUUUCAUAUUCUGAUAUAAGGAGGUUACCUGAUGAAAUUUGGAUGUUAGAGAAGCUGGAAGUGAUAGAUUUCACAUGCUCUAGUUAUUUGAGAGGUGACAUUCCUAGUAAUAUGGGAAGACUAUCAUCUCUUAGGUUCUUGAGCUUUCGCGAUACUGAAAUUCAAAGCCUACCAACAAGCAUGGGGGAGCUCUCUUGCCUCCAAACUCUUAACUUAGGGGGCUGCACAGAGCUUCAAUCACAUCCAGAGCUUCCCUCAAGUUUAAGGGUUCUGUAUGUUGCUUCUAUCCCUAAUCUUACAAAUCUGGUUAAUCUGCAAGAAUUGCACUUUGUUGGGGGUGAGUAUGUGGAGAUUCCUAGAGAUAUUGGGUUAUUAUCCAAAUUGGAGAAAUUGACCUUGGAUUCUACCAAUAUUAGGACCCUGCCAAAAGAGAUUGGUGACUUUUCUCAGCUUAAGGUGCUCAAUGUACGAUUAUGUGAUGAUCUUCAAUGUAUAUUGGGGUUACCCUCAAGUCUAGUUGAUUUAUCUCUUGCACUUUGUGAUUCAUUGGAAAGGUUGCCGGAUCUGUCAAAUUUGAAAAAUUUGUUGAAAUUUUCGCUUAAUACUUGUGUUGGGCUGACAGAGGUUCAAGGGCUUGGAAACUUAGAGUCGUUGACAAGUUUGGACAUAAAUGCGUGCGAUAAGCUAGCCAACCUUGAAAAGAUGCGAGAUCUUUCAAAUCUAAAGAAGUUAGAGAUCUUAUGUAUUACUGAUUGUCUUGAACUUCUUGUGAUCCAAGGACUUGACAAAUUGGAAUCACUGAAAUAUUUGGAUUUGCAUGAUUGUGAGAACUUACUUGAGAUUGAGGGUCUUGAUGCUUUGGAAUCUGUGGAGGUAUUGAACCUGUCUGGGUGCACAUCACUGGGAACAAAACCAAAUCCGCCAAAUGCGCAUACCCAACAGUGCAAAGAUCAGAUUUAUUAUCAUGCCGAUUCAAUGUACAGGUAUUGGACAGCUUUGAGAGAGGAAAGAUUGAGCUCGAGGCUACAGGUGGUAAGUGGAUAUACAUAUGAUGAAGGUACACAAGAAGAAUUAUGAAAGCAAUGGAAGCUUGCAUUAGAAAAUAGUGCAGCAUCAAUUUGCUCCUCUACAGCUCUACUAGGCUUUGUAUUAAGAGAGUCAUGUAACAACUAGCACGUGUUUGCAUGCUAUGAAUAAGCAAUCCCGAUAGCAGCGGUAGAGUUUAAAUAAGAACUUCUCCAGACUCAUAAAGUUGCAGCUCAGGUCAACCAACAUGCAAAUCGGCUGCCCUAAAAUCAUAUGUUUAUAUACAGUUACAUCCUUUACAACUCAUUCCUUGAGCAUCCAAAUCUUGAUUUUUAUAUGGACACUUAUGGUCCAUGAAAAAGGAAUACAUUCUGUUGAGUUGCACAAUCUGCACCAGAAACAGUGUUUGAGGUCAAUUGUUCUAAAUAAUAGACUGCCAUAAAAUUACUUGAGGCAAAAAUUGCACUUUUUGCAUUCCUUGAUUUUUGGACACAAUUUAUGUGCUGUGACUCUGGUUGAUAGUUGAGAUAAGAGGUUGCCAGGGUGCCUAUAUGUAUAAGAACAUUUUUUUUUCCCUAAAGAUAUAUAUAUAUAUAUAUGUAUAAGAACUUGCUAGGGACUUCCUUUCUAGUAACCAAAAUCUGCUACUGCUUUGAGAGGUCUGUGGUACGUCUGCUUCAUGGCUUCCUCCAGGGGAAAAGGACAAAAUGAAGACGGAAUAUUAGCAUCAGCACAGAGCUUGGCACGAAUAGUAUGAAAAAGAAGAACGAGUGGCUUGCUACAAAUUGAAGAAUUUAAAGAAUAAGAGGGCGUAAAUCGCUAUCCAGUAAGGAGAUCAUACAUGUUCUCUCAAACUUUGACAUUCAAUUAAAAGAAAUCAUGUUGUAAUUUGGAAACAAUGAUGAGUUCUUGUGACAGGAUUAAGAUGUUCUAUUUUGAGAAAAGUGAUAAAGAACAGUCGAAUCUGAGAUAGUUUAUUAAUGCAAGGUCUUGAUAAAUGGUUAGAGAAUGAUGAGGCUUCCUUCACAUGGGAAGUGAA
This is an RNA transcript of Cornus florida, 4359 nucleotides long. It is a transcript of the gene named disease resistance protein L6-like, with no coding region annotated. NCBI's taxonomy places the organism in Eukaryota, Viridiplantae, Streptophyta, Magnoliopsida, Cornales, Cornaceae. The record is from RefSeq and is a predicted model, not a curated record. The transcript has 7 exons.